This 201-nucleotide long non-coding RNA is filed under the name Elaeis guineensis (African oil palm). RNAcentral describes it as "long non-coding RNA (EGUI_LNC038145)". The record is from RNAcentral. Lineage: Eukaryota; Viridiplantae; Streptophyta; Magnoliopsida; Arecales; Arecaceae.
GGCAUCCUUCCUCCCCUUGUGGUGUGGUGUGUGGGCUCCUUCCAAGGCCUUAAGAUCAAAUCUCAAGGCUCUUCUUCUUUUCUCUUGAAGAGUUCUUCAUUCCUCUCUCCUACGUUGCUUGGCAUGCAUGCGAAGUAGAAGAUCUGUACAUCUAGAUCUCGCGAAGCAAAUCGAUUGAAGAACCUCUUUUACCUUGAUCAA